Molecule: small nuclear RNA, 107 nt
Organism: Peromyscus eremicus (cactus mouse)
Lineage: Eukaryota; Metazoa; Chordata; Mammalia; Rodentia; Cricetidae
Source: RefSeq, a predicted model, not a curated record
GUGCUCACUUCGGCAGUAUAUACACUAAAAUUGGAACGACACAGAGAAGAUAAGCAUGGCUCCUGUGCAAGGAUGACACGCAAAUUCGUGAAGCGGUUUUUUUUUUG